CCUCAGAGGACAGCUGGUCUGCAGAAUUAGAAGUGAAUCAAGGCAGAGGGCAGUCUGCCUGCAGCUUCAAAGAAAGCAUCCAGACUCAGAUGGGCAGGAUCUCAGCAUCAGACUGUCCAAACAGGCUCCAGCUUCAACAGCAGACUGAGACAGACAACAAAAGAAAACAGCAGCUUCCGAGGGCUCCACAGGUCAAAGGUGACGUUUCAAGGGGUCUUCAGAGAGAGGUACUGAUGACGUGUCGAUCACAGUGAUUAUGAAGAUGACAGCGAAAGCAACUACGACUGUAAAAGUCUGACCACGACUGUUUUGCUGCUUCCUGAUUAUUAAUGAAUGUUCUGAUAAUGUUUGUAUCUUUUGUCAUUAAUUCUUUUGCCGUCAUUUGUUACAAACAAAAUUCACCAAACUCAGUUUGUGUUAUUUAAUUUUUACAGGCCACACUCACUGGACAUAAGAAAACACUCAUUUUAAUCACUGAUAACUCAGUGACUUUAUAAAACUUUUAGUAGUCCAGCCUUUGACUAUUAACACUUACCAUAUUGUACCUGUACAGCAUGGUUUUGUACAUGUAUGAGAUUUUUUUUUUUAUGUUGAAGUCAUUUCCUGAUUUAUUUUGUAAUCUUUGUUGGUUUUCUCUUCUUUGGAACUGAUUGUGAGUCAGUGUGUAACCUCACCUGCUUCCUUUUGUUCCACAUGACUUGAAGUUCCACAUGAAUUUCUGUUUAUUUAAAUUUCUGUUUCAUUUUGAUCUGUGUUGUGUGACCCUUGCAGACUGUUUUGUGGACUGCUUGCCUCGCUGUGUGUAACCACUGCCUGUUUUUGACUAAAGAUUUGGAUUUUUGACUUUUACCCCGUCUCUGUGUGUCCUUUGAGUCCUCUUCCUCUGAGU
Molecule: long non-coding RNA, 889 nt
Organism: Archocentrus centrarchus (flier cichlid)
Lineage: Eukaryota; Metazoa; Chordata; Actinopteri; Cichliformes; Cichlidae
Exons: 3
Source: RefSeq, a predicted model, not a curated record